AGUGAACGCUGGCGGUAGGCCUAACACAUGCAAGUCGAACGGCAGCACAGUAAGAGCUUGCUCUUACGGGUGGCGAGUGGCGGACGGGUGAGGAAUACAUCGGAAUCUACUUUUUCGUGGGGGAUAACGUAGGGAAACUUACGCUAAUACCGCAUACGACCUACGGGUGAAAGCAGGGGAUCUUCGGACCUUGCGCGAUUGAAUGAGCCGAUGUCGGAUUAGCUAGUUGGCGGGGUAAAGGCCCACCAAGGCGACGAUCCGUAGCUGGUCUGAGAGGAUGAUCAGCCACACUAGAACUGAGACACGGUCCAGACUCCUACGGGAGGCAGCAGUGGGGAAUAUUGGACAAUGGGCGCAAGCCUGAUCCAGCCAUACCGCGUGAGUGAAGAAGGCCUUCGGGUUGUAAAGCCCUUUUGUUGGGAAGGAAAGGCAGCAGGUUAAUACCCCGCUGUUCUGACGGUACCCAAAGAAUAAGCACCGGCUAACUUCGUG
Molecule: ribosomal RNA, 492 nt
Filed under: uncultured bacterium
Lineage: Bacteria
Description: partial 16S ribosomal RNA
Rfam family: Bacterial small subunit ribosomal RNA
Source: RNAcentral